This 1120-nucleotide long non-coding RNA is filed under the name Triticum aestivum (bread wheat). RNAcentral describes it as "long non-coding RNA (TAES_LNC012468)". The record is from RNAcentral. Lineage: Eukaryota; Viridiplantae; Streptophyta; Magnoliopsida; Poales; Poaceae.
GGGAUCCCGCGGAUGCCAAGCUGCGCAAGAGGGAUCUAGCGCUCAAGGGAGCCGAUGAGACGCGUGCGGCGGUCCAGGGGACCUAGCUAAGGCGAGGCGUCUGAGGGAAUCUGGCACUCGAGUGGCUGCCUCCAGGUCAGUUCGCUCAUCUUCCCUUCCCUUCUCUCUUAGGUCCUGAAGGCGGCAGCCGCAACGAGUCGGCGAUGCCUCCGCUGAGGUUGCGGCAAUGGAACCCGCGCCAGGUGGUGCUGGGCCGUGCGAGUGUGCGGCAUGGGCCGCUGGCCUUGGGACAUAUCCACAUCCAUAGCUCUGGCGGCAACGGCGGCGGUAGCGGAUGACGUCUCAUCCAUAGCUUCUAAUUUAAUCCUCCUCUCUUUUUCUUGCAUAGGGUACUCUUGUUGGGUAACCUGUUCUUCUCGAUGGUGCUCCAGCAACUGCAUAAUUCAGGCUGGAGGUGAUUGAGGGUACUGUACACGAGGACAUGUGUAUGGGAACAACAAUACACCAGGCCCCCCCUAUAUUUCUUUUCUUUUCAUGUACGAUUCCUUUUUCCACAAAACAAUUUCUUUGCCCUGACAUACUGCCAAUCCAAUUUGUACAUACAGGUAAUGUUGUUGGCGAUGGUCAAUUGAUUUGAGCAUAUUUGGAGACUAGUGGGCGCGGCUGUACUGCCGAGUCACCACCGGAGAGAGGAUCCCAGAGGAGAUGGGCAGAUGCUCCAGAGGAUUUUGUAAAAACACCAACUUCCUCUUCAUCUAGCUGAUCUUUUCUCGAAAACUUGAGUGACUGGACUUAUGCACUUGUCCCUUAGAGUCAAUGGUCACAUCCUCUUGCGUAUUCAGGCCAGCUCUUCUUUCACCCAAUAUGCCUAUUUCCAAAUAUUCACGUCCUUGGUUCUCUCCCAUCUGACCUGUGACUAAAACUAAAAUUAAUAUGUGCAACUAACAAUGGGGCAUCUCAUGAGAAUGGAGUUGAAACAAUCGAUGUACUGAUGGACAUGUUAUUUUUUUAUUGCGUAUUUGUAUAGUUUGGACCUCCAUCCUGAACAGAUCAACAAUACGAAUGGUGUACUAAUGCCAUUUAACCUUUUUUGUGUCAGGUCAGUUGAUUUUGUACCUNN